RNAcentral lists this ribosomal RNA (841 nucleotides) under uncultured marine eukaryote. RNAcentral describes it as "SSU rRNA". It matches the Rfam family "Eukaryotic small subunit ribosomal RNA", at positions 623 to 1483 of the family's 1831-position model. The record is from RNAcentral.
AAAGCUCGUAGUUGGAUUUCUGUGGGGGCGGAGCGGCCGGCCGCAACUCGCGGUUCGAGCUAGCGCUUCCCCUACAUCCUGCCGCGAACCGUGCUACCAUUAGUUUGGUGGCGCCGGGGAUCGGCUCGUUUACUUUGAGAAAAAUAGAGUGUUCAAAGCAGGCCACACGCCUUGAAUAAGUUAGCAUGGAAUAAUAAUAAAGGACUUCGGUUCUAUUUUGUUGGUGUUCGGGACUGAAGUAAUGAUUGAUAGGGACAGUUGGGGCGGUCAGUAUUCCAAAGCGAGAGGUGAAGUUCUUAGACCUUCGGAAGACUAACAGCUGCGAAAGCGUUCCGCAAGGAUGUUCCCUUUGAUCAAGAACGAAAGUUGGGGGAUCGAAGACGAUCAGAUACCGUCGUAGUCUCAACUAUAAACUAUACCAGCUAGGGAUCGGCCAACGUUAAAUUAUCCGACUUGGUCGGCACCUUAUGAGAAAUCAAAGCAUCUGGGUUCCGGGGGGAGUAUGGUCGCAAGGCUGAAACUUAAAGGAAUUGACGGAAGGGCACCACCAGCCGUGGAGCCUGUGGCUUAAUUUGACUCAACACGGGAAAACUUACCAGGUCCAGACAUAGUAAGGAUUGACAGAUUGAUAGCUCUUUCUUGAUUCUGUGGGUGGUGGUGCAUGGCCGUUCUUAGUUGGUGGAGUGAUUUGUCUGGUUAAUUCCGUUAACGAACGAGACCCCAGCCUGCUAAAUAGCGCGGUUGAGCUUUGCUCGGCGCGAGCUUCUUAGAGGGACUAUGAUGCGCGAUAGCACAUGGAAGUUUGGGGCAAUAACAGGUCUGUGAUGCCCUUAGAUGUUCU